Molecule: ribosomal RNA, 245 nt
Filed under: uncultured bacterium
Lineage: Bacteria
Description: partial small subunit ribosomal RNA
Rfam family: Bacterial small subunit ribosomal RNA
Source: RNAcentral
AGAAUCAACGCUGGCGGCGUGCCUAACAAAUGCAAGUCGAACGAGAAAGUGGAGCAAUCCAUGAGUAAAGUGGCGCACGGGUGAGUAACACGUGACUAACCUACCCUUGAGUGGGGGAUAACCUAGAGAAAUCUGGGCUAAUACCGCAUAAUACCUUCGGGUCAAAGGAGCAAUUCGCUUAAGGAGGGGGUCGCGGCCGAUUAGUUAGUUGGCGGGGUAAUGGCCCACCAAGACUGUGAUCGGUA